CCCGCUGAACUUAAGCAUAUCAAUAAGCGGAGGAAAAGAAACUAACAAGGAUUCCCCUAGUAACUGCGAGUGAACCGGGAAAAGCUCAAAUUUUGAAUCUGGCGGUCUUUACGGUCGUCCGAGUUGUAAUCUAGAGAAGCGUCUUCCGCGCUGGACCGUGUAUAAGUUUCCUGGAAUGGAACGUCGUAGAGGGUGACAAUCCCGUCUUUGACACGGACUCCCAGGGCUAUGUGAUGCGCUCUCGACGAGUCGAGUUGUUUGGGAAUGCAGCUCAAAUAGGGUGGUAAAUUCCAUCUAAAGCUAAAUACAGGCGAGAGACCGAUAGCGAACAAGUACCGUGAGGGAAAGAUGAAAAGAACUUUGGAAAGAGAGUUAAACAGUACGUGAAAUUGCUGAAAGGGAAACGCUUGAUGUCAGUCGCGUCGGCCGGGGAUCAGCCUUGCUCUUUUGCUCGGCGUACUUCCUGGUCGACGGGUCAGCAUCGGUUUCGAUCGUCGGAGAAUGGCUCGAGGAAUGUGGCACUCUUCGGAGUGUGUUAUAGACUCGGGUCGAAUACGACGCUCGGGACCGAGGAACUCAGCACGACCUUCACCGGUUCGGAGCUUCGGCUCACGUUAACGUGCUUAGGAUGCUGGCAUAAUGGCCUUAAGCGACCCGUCUUGAAACACGG
RNAcentral lists this ribosomal RNA (670 nucleotides) under uncultured fungus. Its description in RNAcentral is "eukaryotic LSU rRNA". It matches the Rfam family "Eukaryotic large subunit ribosomal RNA", at positions 24 to 664 of the family's 3401-position model. The record is from RNAcentral. Lineage: Eukaryota; Fungi.